UUUGUAGCUCAGCUGGAUAGAGCAACCGCCUUCUAAGCGGUAGGUCGGAGGUUCGAGUCCCCCCAA
Molecule: transfer RNA, 66 nt
Filed under: uncultured Eubacterium sp.
Lineage: Bacteria; Bacillati; Bacillota; Clostridia; Eubacteriales; Eubacteriaceae
Rfam family: tRNA
About the family: Transfer RNA (tRNA) molecules are approximately 80 nucleotides in length.
Source: RNAcentral